UUCUAACAUAUUACGAUUAUCAAAUAAAAUUCUCCAAUUAGAAACAACUAUCAAAUGAAACUCUAAACAAAAUCAACCUAAUUAAAUUCUAAAAAGUUAGCGUAAUUCCAAUUAAGCUUCCAAACAAAAUCAGUACUCUAAUGAUCAACCAAUUAGCAAACAUUAUUAUUUAAUUAGCAUUUUGCAAACCUUAUGAUCAAUACUCUAGUCAUUACCCAACUAAUACGAUCAGCAAACUCAACAUCAAAUUGAGAUCAACCAAAAAGAAAGGGCCUAAAAGGAAUAUCUAUAAGCCUACACGACAAGGACUGAACGAAACGCAAAGAUCCUUCAUCCCUCAUCGCUCACAGACGCUCCCAGUCCAGGAGAAAACGAAGCGAACACACCAGGACGUCACACCGGUCACCGGCGGCGGCGUUCCCUCCCGCUAACGGGAUCUCACUCGUCCUCCACAUCCUAACCUACCUGAAGAGUAACAAACUCAACACACAGAAAAACAACGACAUCGCGAGAUACGACUAGAUAACGGCGGAAACGGAUCUAUUAGAAUGGACGGGAUCCAAAUACAACCCGUACUACAACAAGGAGAUUGAUAGUGCGAAAGGAGGAAGAGAUCCUACCGACGAUGGUGAAGGCGGACUCGUCGGCGGAGAAUUCGAAGCAACGGUAACUCGAAACUUCUAGUUAAUUCGAUCUUCUUCUCCUCGCCUCGUUUGGAUCAUACUGGAUCUAAGCGUUCCUUGCACAGCAGAUGAAACGGAUCUUCCAGUUCGGUUGCAUUUCGACAACGACGACGAUGGCGGUUUGCGAUUCUGAUCUAACGAAGCGGAAGAAGAAGACGGCGUUGAUGAAGCGGUUGAAGAGUGUUGGCUAAUGGAGAUUGAAAAAGAAAGAGAGGAAGAAGAAGAAGUGGGAGAUUCCAUAAGUCUCCAAGAAGCGAAGGCUUCACUCAAUUCUGGUAUUUAUAGCACUGUUAUGCACGGUGAAUUUGAAUUGAUUCUGCACUGCUUUUUGUUAUUUUGAUGUCGUUUUCGUUUUCAUUGUCGUUCACCGCUUGCGAUGCCAUUUCUGUCUUGGCUUGCAUUUGCUCGGCGUGUCGUUUUGGCUUGGUUUUGUUGGAGUUGUUUGGAGAUUUACGAUUGCUGCCGUUUACGAAUUGUAGUUGCGUUUGGAAAUUUGCAGCUUGAAUGCGGCUUGUUUGUAGUCUUGGCUCAGCUGCUGUUUGCACUUGAAUUGGUAGCAGGUGGUUGAGUUUUGUACGUGGUGUAGACGUACUUGGUUUAUGGAGUUUUUGCUUUGGCACUUUUCUCAAAUUGCUUUUCUUAUUAUUAUUUUUCCAUUUGGCUUAUUGGAUACCGUAAACUAUGAAUGGGUAUGUACAUGGAUUUGGACAAUUCAAUGAAUUUGGAUAUUAGGAAUUGGACUAA
This is a long non-coding RNA of Lathyrus oleraceus (garden pea), 1427 nucleotides long. RefSeq lists it as uncharacterized. The transcript is spliced from 2 exons. Lineage: Eukaryota; Viridiplantae; Streptophyta; Magnoliopsida; Fabales; Fabaceae. The record is from RefSeq and is a predicted model, not a curated record.